GCUCAUCGCAUCCUGGGGCUGUAGUCGGUCCCAAGGGUUGGGCUGUUCGCCCAUUAAAGCGGUACGCGAGCUGGGUUCAGAACGUCGUGAGACAGUUCGGUCCCUAUCCGUCGUGGGCGUAGGAAAUUUGAGAGGAGCUGUCCUUAGUACGAGAGGACCGGGAUGGACGCACCGCUGGUGUACCAGUUGUUCUGCCAAGGGCAUAGCUGGGUAGCUAUGUGCGGAAGGGAUAAGUGCUGAAAGCAUCUAAGCAUGAAGCCCCCCUCAAGAUGAGAUUUCCCAUAGCGUAAGCUAGUAAGAUCCCUGAAAGAUGAUCAGGUUGAUAGGUUCGAGGUGGAAGCAUGGUGACAUGUGGAGCUGACGAAUACUAAUAGAUCGAGGACUUAACCAUAUAA
This 395-nucleotide ribosomal RNA is filed under the name Bacillus paranthracis. RNAcentral describes it as "partial 23S ribosomal RNA". It matches the Rfam family "Bacterial large subunit ribosomal RNA", at positions 2535 to 2925 of the family's 2925-position model. Lineage: Bacteria; Bacillati; Bacillota; Bacilli; Caryophanales; Bacillaceae. The record is from RNAcentral.